Ruditapes philippinarum (Manila clam) is the source of this 1203-nucleotide long non-coding RNA. RefSeq lists it as uncharacterized. The transcript has 3 exons. NCBI's taxonomy places the organism in Eukaryota, Metazoa, Mollusca, Bivalvia, Venerida, Veneridae. The record is from RefSeq and is a predicted model, not a curated record.
AUCUUUUAUCUUAUCUACUCAGAGGGUAUAGAAGAAGCUAAGACAGCGGAUCAUUCAUCUGCUGCAGUUAUCGGAGGCUCAGUUGCUGGCGGUGUUGUAGCGAUUGGCAUUUUGUUGUUGUUGGUUGUUCUAAUAUAAACGAAGGCUGCAACGAGUCAAACGGAAUGAAAGUGAAAACUACUACAAAACAAUCCAUCGCAAUAUGGCACAAGUAGAUGAUGAGACAACUUACGAUACAAUUGACAUUUCACACGAUAAUCAAGACCAACAGAACGAAGAAGAUAAUGUGCGUGUUACAGGAUUAUGACAUUUCAAUCACAGAUUCAAACAUUUAGAUAUUACAUAUAUGUUCUUAUUACAUUGUGAUUUUGUUUGUCCAUAAUUAAAGUAUGUUCAACCGUAAAGUUGACAGAAUUUAGUAUUUAGAGUGUGUUUGACAAAAAACAAGGGAAGAAUUAUAUGUACGGAUGUAUAGAGUAGAUGAUAAAUCUUUCUUAAACAAAUUAUCAUGUUUUAUUAUAUAAAUGCUUUACAAAAUCACUUACACUUUAUUGUGUAAAAAAUAUUCUAAGGGAAUAUUUAAAUCAUACAUUCUUAUUUUUAUCAAUAUUUGAUUAAUACUAAUAUUAAUAAUGAAAGAAAUAGAUUAAUAUAUUUGUUUGUUUUGUGUGACAACAAUGUUUUUUAAGCUGACGAGAUGACACAAAAUGAUACCUUACAUAAUAACAAAUGAUUUGUGCUUAGUUUCGAAUUCAAAACAGUUUACAUUUUUUUGUUAUUAGUUCUUCAUCGACUGGAAGCUUUUAAUUUAGACAACCUCUUUACAUAAUACGAAAGAAAGUUUAAGUUUAAAAAUAAGUUCAAAAAGAUAACAUGAGAUGGAAAUGACAAUGAUUAGUUCAAAUAAAACGCACGUUUAUCGGUUUGAUUAUUAAAAACAUUUUUAAAAGGCUUUUUUAAGAACGCUUGUGGUUUAUUUACGUAUCUUGUGAAUGUUGUUUGUGUUAACUUAUGUACUUAGAGUUAUGUCGUAAACACACACAAGAUGUGUACGCAGCAGUCGGGAUUCGAACCACGAGGCUCUGUAUUGCGGUCCAGUAUGCUUACUACUACCACAGCGGCCGUUGCUUUUCUCCGCCCUAAAUGAGUUCAUAUAUCAAAAGUUAUUCUUAACUAAAUUGUGACGUCAUCACUUUAAGAGCU